GCUCAGUUUGGUAGAGCGACUGGCUCUUAACCAGAAGGCCGAGGGUUCAAAUCCCUC
RNAcentral lists this transfer RNA (57 nucleotides) under Candidatus Micrarchaeota archaeon RBG_16_36_9. Its description in RNAcentral is "tRNA-Lys". It matches the Rfam family "tRNA", at positions 10 to 63 of the family's 71-position model. Rfam says of the family: Transfer RNA (tRNA) molecules are approximately 80 nucleotides in length. Their secondary structure includes four short double-helical elements and three loops (D, anti-codon, and T loops). Lineage: Archaea; Nanobdellati; Microcaldota. The record is from RNAcentral.